RNAcentral lists this transfer RNA (72 nucleotides) under Camelus bactrianus (Bactrian camel). It matches the Rfam family "tRNA". From Rfam's summary of the family: Transfer RNA (tRNA) molecules are approximately 80 nucleotides in length. Their secondary structure includes four short double-helical elements and three loops (D, anti-codon, and T loops). RNAcentral also lists the same sequence under 2 other names. Lineage: Eukaryota; Metazoa; Chordata; Mammalia; Artiodactyla; Camelidae. The record is from Rfam by way of RNAcentral.
GUGAAUAUAGCUCAGUGGUAGAGCACAUGCUUAGCAUGCAUGAGGUCCUUGGUUCAAUCCCCAGUACCUCCA